AGUUGCCAUCAUUCAGUUGGGCACUCUAGCGAGACUGCCGGUAAUAAACCGGAGGAAGGUGGGGAUGACGUCAAAUCAUCAUGCCCCUUAUGACCUGGGCUACACACGUGCUACAAUGGUUGGUACAACGAGUUGCGAGUCGGUGACGGCGAGCUAAUCUCUUAAAGCCAAUCUCAGUUCGGAUUGUAGGCUGCAACUCGCCUACAUGAAGUCGGAAUCGCUAGUAAUCGCGGAUCAGCACGCCGCGGUGAAUACGGUUCCCGGGCCUU
This 269-nucleotide ribosomal RNA is filed under the name uncultured Streptococcus sp. RNAcentral describes it as "partial 16S ribosomal RNA". It matches the Rfam family "Bacterial small subunit ribosomal RNA", at positions 1113 to 1382 of the family's 1533-position model. Lineage: Bacteria; Bacillati; Bacillota; Bacilli; Lactobacillales; Streptococcaceae. The record is from RNAcentral.